GUGUUUUGUAGGAGGCCCUGUGGGUGCGGGGCAGUUUUAUUAGGGGCUUCCCAGGAAUCAAGAGCCCCUGAUAGGAGAGCGGGAAAAGCUCCGCUAAUCUAGAGUAGUGAUUGCCCUCUUUGGAAGGGUAAGUUUUAGUAUGAACAGUUAGAUUUUGAGGGAAUUGUCCCUAGAUUUUUUUUUUUGGUUAUAUAGACUGAGAGUUAGUGGUUGUAGUACUCUAGUAUAUGUUACGCACAUUAUGAUGAGAUGUAUAUGAUUUUAUAUUUUCUAUUGCGUAGGCUU
Malania oleifera is the source of this 285-nucleotide long non-coding RNA. RefSeq lists it as uncharacterized. NCBI's taxonomy places the organism in Eukaryota, Viridiplantae, Streptophyta, Magnoliopsida, Santalales, Ximeniaceae. The record is from RefSeq and is a predicted model, not a curated record. The transcript has 2 exons.